AGACUGACGUGUAUCUUUACCAGUGUAAACUACAACGCCAUACACACCAUCGCUCGCAAGGACAGUAUUUGCCCAUAAUGUAUGAUCAACGGAUAUAGGUCGUUUCUGGUUGUUCAAUGUGAAAGUUCCGUAGAAGUGAUGAACAGACUUAAUAGGAGCAUCCGCAUGAACAAUGCCUUCUGUAUGCUGAUUUGAGCAAGGUAUCCUGAGUUUCCAGUCGGUCUCACCAUCAAGCUGAUCCGUACGAAUAAAUGCUUCAUUUCCUACUGUUGUCUCCAACAAGAUCAUAUCAGCAGGAAUACGUUGGUCUUUAGCAAUGUAAACAACAUCUCCUGCCUGUAUGUUUUGAGCUGCACAAGGGGAAUCAUUAACAGUAUAUAUCUCAUUGUUAGCAUAUGAAUCUCUCCUUCGCCGCUUUAAAUCAUCAACUGCUUCUUUUGUGAGAGUAAUUAAUAAAACAAAAAUUAACG
Non-coding RNA from Schizosaccharomyces pombe (fission yeast), 470 nucleotides. NCBI's taxonomy places the organism in Eukaryota, Fungi, Ascomycota, Schizosaccharomycetes, Schizosaccharomycetales, Schizosaccharomycetaceae. The record is from the annotation of a GenBank genome assembly.